Molecule: ribosomal RNA, 299 nt
Filed under: uncultured bacterium
Lineage: Bacteria
Description: partial 16S ribosomal RNA
Rfam family: Bacterial small subunit ribosomal RNA
Source: RNAcentral
GGCUGCUCUCAGCUCGUGUUGUGAAAUGUUGGGUUAAGUCCCGCAACGAGCGCAACCCUUAUCCUUUGUUGCCAGCGGUUAGGCCGGGAACUCAAAGGAGACUGCCAGUGAUAAACUGGAGGAAGGUGGGGAUGACGUCAAGUCAUCAUGGCCCUUACGAGUAGGGCUACACACGUGCUACAAUGGCGCAUACAAAGAGAAGCGACCUCGCGAGAGCAAGCGGACCUCAUAAAGUGCGUCGUAGUCCGGAUUGGAGUCUGCAACUCGACUCCAUGAAGUCGGAAUCGCUAGUAAUCUGA